This is a long non-coding RNA of Oxyura jamaicensis (ruddy duck), 533 nucleotides long. RefSeq lists it as uncharacterized. The record is from RefSeq and is a predicted model, not a curated record. The transcript has 2 exons. Lineage: Eukaryota; Metazoa; Chordata; Aves; Anseriformes; Anatidae.
AACAAUUCCUCCCAGCCAGGAGAGUAAGGCCAGGAAGAGCUCAGGUGUGGGAAGGCGUUCAGACCGCUUUGGUACUCACAGCAUGGCUGGGCAACAACCAGUAACGGGUUCAGACAAACCAAACAAGCAUCUCAUCCACCUUAGGUUGUUCAAGAAAAAUGGCUGAUUUCUGAGCAUACAAUACAAAACACAAGAGUCAGAGACAGACGGAACAGAUGAAGACAAAGUUGUCCCAUAGGAAACGAUCUCUGAUUUGUAAAACAUCUGCAAAACGACAGAGAAGACCACAAGCUCUAGUUCGAGGUGAAGAGGCUCUCCCGAGAGCCCAGUGCCAGGCUGGGCCACAAAGCCUCCAUGCCAUGCAGCACCACGGAGACCCUGAGGCCUUCGCCUCAGGAGUGAGCGAGGCACCUCUACUGCACCGCCAACUUCUCUGUUAGGACGAAGGCUGUAGAAAUGCGACACCACUUGGUGCAUUGACUUUAUUAUAUUGAUUUAUGCUUUCCCUUUAAUUAAAAGGUACCAGGAAAACA